This 229-nucleotide long non-coding RNA is filed under the name Homo sapiens (human). RNAcentral's name for it is "HSALNT0046930". Lineage: Eukaryota; Metazoa; Chordata; Mammalia; Primates; Hominidae. The record is from RNAcentral.
ACAUGCCUGCCAAUUAAUAUGUGGCCUUCCAGAAAUUUUGACCAUCACAAGCACAAUACGCAGGAAAUGCAGAGGUGCAGCAAUGCGUUGCUGUGACAGCAAGGUUCUGGAUAUGGAGAAAGUUGGCCAGCAUCUGCCCUUUUCCUCCAGGCACUGCUUUCUCCUGGAGGGCCCCAACUUGUUGUCCAUCCUUCCUAUUUCACUGAACUGUCAGGACUCACAAGGUACG